AAGGGAGACCUAAUUCAGGUAUAAGACGAAAAAAAAGUAGUCCCUACCAAGAAUCAAUCCCAAAAGGUCGGAACGAGGUAUGAGGCUUUCAAACUAGGUUCUGGGUUCAUAAAAGACCUGAAUCAGGAACAAGGGCUAUUAGCUCAGGUGGUUAGAGCGCACCCCUGAUAAGGGUGAGGUCCCUGGUUCGAGUCCAGGAUGGCCCACCUGCACAGGUGGCAAAAACAAGAGAAGCGAGGAAUCAGCACCUUAUCUUAUCUAUAUAUAAGAGAGAAUGCUGGCUCUGAGUAAAGAGUCCAGAGGAACCUUGAAAACUGCAUAGAGCUAGGUGAAAAAGCCAAAAAAGAAGACCGCAA
Molecule: transfer RNA, 356 nt
Filed under: Microcystis aeruginosa
Lineage: Bacteria; Bacillati; Cyanobacteriota; Cyanophyceae; Chroococcales; Microcystaceae
Description: 16S-23S ribosomal RNA intergenic spacer
Rfam family: tRNA (bases 133-206)
Source: RNAcentral